RNAcentral lists this transfer RNA (84 nucleotides) under Cypionkella sp. RNAcentral's name for it is "tRNA-Leu". It matches the Rfam family "tRNA". From Rfam's summary of the family: Transfer RNA (tRNA) molecules are approximately 80 nucleotides in length. Their secondary structure includes four short double-helical elements and three loops (D, anti-codon, and T loops). Further hydrogen bonds mediate the characteristic L-shaped molecular structure. tRNAs have two regions of fundamental functional importance: the anti-codon, which is responsible for specific mRNA codon recognition, and the 3' end, to which the tRNAs corresponding amino acid is attached (by aminoacyl-tRNA synthetases). tRNAs cope with the degeneracy of the genetic code in two manners: having more than one tRNA (with a specific anti-codon) for a particular amino acid; and 'wobble' base-pairing, i.e. permitting non-standard base-pairing at the 3rd anti-codon position. Lineage: Bacteria; Pseudomonadati; Pseudomonadota; Alphaproteobacteria; Rhodobacterales; Paracoccaceae. The record is from RNAcentral.
GCCCGAGUGGUGGAAUGGUAGACGCAGGGGAUUCAAAAUCCCCCGCCGAGAGGCUUGUCGGUUCGAGUCCGACCUCGGGUACCA